GCAAAGUCAAUGAGGACCUUUACCACAUUGGAAUGACCAUAUCUUGCUGCCAAAUGGAGUGGGAUUUCACCUUUCUUAUUGGCCUGCAAUAACAGUGGUGGACACAUUUCGAGAAUUUUAUCAACAAAAUCAGUGGAUUCUGAUUUUCUACGUUGGUUUUCUAAGUAGACAUGAAGAAUGGUGUUCUCGUCUGGAGUCAAUAACUGAUCAAGGCGGGUUUGAUUUUUCUCAAAGGGACCGAUUUCGCCUGCUGCUGCAGCUUUGAACAAGACUGGAUCCAUAUAGGUCGAUAACUGAUCAAGGCAGGUUUGAUAAUUCUCAAAGGGACCGAUAUGGCCUUCAGCUGCAGCUUUGAACAAGACAGGAUCCAUAUAGGUCGUCAUACUAUUUUGUAGCUUAGAGAAACUCACUAAAUGAAAAGUAAACAAAUGAAGGGGAGGAGAAAUCACUGUGGCACAAAGGUAAUUAAGAUGUUACACUCCUCAACUGAUCACAAGCUGCUGAUUUAUUUGGUUUGUUGCUCCCUAUAGUUAAUUAGGGGGUUUGAAAGUGUGAUAAAUGAUUUUUUAAAUGUUUUUUAUUUAAAAACAUAUUAAAAAAAAAUAUAUUUUUUAAUAUCAGGUUGUACUCCUAUAAUUUACUAUCAGGUAAGUGGCUGCAUUAACCAGCUACUAUACAGAUUGCAUAAGAUUUAGUAUAUAUUUGAUAUUAUAAUUUAUUAUAUUUUUUAAAAAUUAUUUUUUUUGUUUGAAAAUAUUUUAAGAUAAAAUUUUUUUAUUUUUUUAUUUUUAAAAUCAAUACAUCAAAAUUAUUAAAAAACACUAAUAAAAAUAUAAAUUUGAUUUCAAAGAAAAAAAACCCUUUUAAAAAUAACAGUGGUGGACACCUUUCUAGAAUUAUAUCAACAAAAUCAGUGAAUUCCGGUUCACUGCUUUGGUUUUUCAAGUAGACAUGAAGAAUUGUGUUCUCGUUUGAUCACUCUCGAAGGGAUCGAUAUAGCCUUCUUCCGCAUGAGACUUGGUGAAUGUUUGAUAUCUAUGCAUUUUUUUAAAUGUUUUUUUUAAUAUAUUAAAAUAAUAUUUUUUAAAAAAUUUUUAGUUUUAAAAUUAAUAUAUCAAAACCAUUAAAAAACACUAAAAUACAUAUGAAUUUAAUUUAUUUUUAAAAAAUACUCUUAAAAAAUAUAUAAAACCAAAAAGGAAUCUCUUUUCUAUGGUUAGAGAAUAUAAUUUAAUUUCAAACUAAAAGAAAUAAAAAUUUUAAAAAACAUGUUUCACGAUAAGGAGAUUGUGGUCCAGCUCUAACCAUAAGAAAAACGAGUGGACAGAAAUGAUGCAAGUGUAGCAGAGAUCGACCUCAAAGAAGAGAAGCUAGGACAACCAUAAUGAGUACAUUAAAGGGUGUUUAAUAAUGUGUUUGAUAAGGGCUUCUAAAAAAAAUUAAAUUUUUUUUUAAUUUGAAUUAAUAUAUUUUUAAUAUUUUUAAAUUAUUUUGAUGUACUGAUUUUAAAAAUAAUUUUUUAAAAAUAAAAAAAUAUUAUUAAUAUAUUUUUAAAUAAAAAAUACUUUAAAAAACAAUCACAACCACAUUUUUAAAAACACUUUUAUAUUCAAGAGCAUAUGCAAUUAACGAAGGUUGCCAGCCAAAUUUAAAUUUAAUUUAGACUUGGAUCCAAUGCAAGAACUAAAGGGGCUGUUUUGUGCGGAAAAGAAAAAUUAAAGGAAUGGUUGGUGUGCAUCAAUGUCAUAAAUAGGGUUUGUUUUGUUAGGAACACUUUGAAAGUUGCAUUAAUACAGCAAAUGAAGGGGAGGUGAAAACAUUGAAUUUAAGGUAGCAAGUGUAGAGAGUUGUGACUGAAUCCCUUCUUCUUCUUUUUUUAAUUGACAAAGUGGCUAAAUCACCAUAGCUUUAAUUCAAAAACAUAUCAUUCAUUGAAAACAUAUCAUUAAAUAUAUAUAUAUAUAUAUAUAUAUAUAUAUAUUGAUCUUUAUAGUUGAUCAAUAAUUUGUAUAUUAAGCUAACCUCUUAUUUUAGCACUAGCAUACCAAGUAAAAAUAGCACGAUUAAGCUUUUCAUCAUUAUACAAUAAAAAAAUGAAAGCACAAAGCAUAUAUUUCAAGAUUCAACAAAUAAAUUGUAAACACAAAGAAUCUAUGUGAACUUAUUGCCUCAUAAUAAGUGAAUUCUAUAAAUAUUCAUUAUGGAAAUACUUCUGUAAUUUUCAUGACAAAACUUUUGUCAAUAAAAAUUAUGUAAUAAAAAAUCAUAUUUAGGUGGAGAAAGCAAGUGUGACAUAAAAAUACUUUAUUUCUAGAGAACAGAAUCUCCACAAUAUCACCAAUCUUCUACUAGGACAUUAAAGAAAUGUUACAAGGGAUCGAUUUAUGAUUUCUUAACAUUUUCAAAGCUCUUAGCCGCACCAUUCACCACUAUGCAUACAUGGAUGUUGGAUUCCAUUUAGGGAAAAGAUUUUGUACAAUAUAUAUCUUUCAUGAAGAGUGGUAUUAUUAACACAAAGAACAUUAACAAGUUCUGUCAUUUUUACCGUGACUAUAAUCAUAGCAUUGAAAAACAUCAUGCCUUGAAAAGAGAGAUAAAAAGGUUGAUAUCCAAGUGAUAUCUCUAAUAAUUUAUGAAGAAUGAGAUGGAAUUUAAAUAAAUAAAUAAAAAAUCUCCAUAACACAUUACAAAUUUGUAAUAAAUUAUUGCCACCAACAUCUCCACUAAUAGCAAGCAAGGUAUAUCAUUUAAUGACUUAAUUUUAUAUGAAAAUAUUUUUUUUUCUCUACAAGAUAAGUUCAGAGACUACACCCAGUCUCCAUAUAUAUAUAUAUAUAUAUAUAUAAAGAAAGCCAAAGCUACUCUUAGCCAUUGAAAGCUUUAGCCUUGCAAGAUAUCAGUUCUAAGCCACACAAAGCUAGAGCCAAGUUCUACAAGAGACAAGUCCUGGAAAUACAAAUAAAAUAGUCUCUUCCAUUCUACACACAAAAACUCUGCACACUCUGCACUCAUAUAUUUACUAAUUUUAGUAUCAAAGAGUUUUUUAUUGUUUACAAGGGUUUUAUUUUGUAAAAAAGCUCAUAAACCUACCAAGCCCGACCACACCAUCAACCCAGGACGACCAUGAAAAACUCAAUUUUUAUCUAAAUGUUUUUCACAAUUUCAUUACCUAUGUUGUUAGUGUUAAGCCAAUGGUAUGGAAGCCGUAUGCCUGUAAUCUUUCUAAAAGUAUUUGUUUUAGACGAGUAUUCUCGCACUUUGAAUGCAAAGACAUUUACCGGUAGCUAGUAGGGGGCUAACUUGCUAAUACCAAUAUCACCACUAAAAAAAAGAGGGCUCUUUUCUACCUUUCCUUUCUUUCACAUCUUGAUUCGGACUUUGUAGUGGUCCCUGGGCCGACCAUUUCUCCUUGACCUCGCUGUUCAUGGUCACUUCUUCUAUCGUACCAUUUCUUUUUAGCGGUCUUGUCUUAGAGAAAAAAUAUCAUGGCCAUGCACAGGAUAUAUCAAUCAAGUUUUGUCCUCGAUAUGUGACUCACUCAAGUAUAUAUUUAUCUCCAUUCUGUUUCUAUAUCGUAAAAAGAAAACCUUUCACUAAAAGAGCUUUAAGUUAUGAUAGUUUGGUUUUUUUUUUACAAAAACUGGCAAAACUUGUUUUGCUUUUCUUGAGUUUUUAUGGGAUUUUACUGACUUUUCAUAGGUAUUUUCAAAACCUUUUUUUUAGUUUUAUGAGUUUUUUAAAAAACUUUUUAUAUAUCUAGUUAUUUUGAGCCCAAGUUAAUUAACAAUGCAUGCAAGGAGAAAAGUGAAUCCACUAAAGUUAUCGAAAGCAAAAUACUCUAAUUCAACUACCAAUUAAUAAAUCAUCUGCAUGCAACAAUUAUUUAUUGAACUAUGCUGGAUUGGUUUUUUUUUUUUGAAUCAUCACACACAUAAUAUAUAAAAGUUUUUCCUGUAGCCAUUGAUUAACUUUUAGCGUCAAAUACAUGCAUUGACAAAAGAUCUGAAGUUCUUUGAACAGAAAAGCUGGAAUUUAUGCAGUGAUAGUGAUAGAAAAGCAUGCAAUUAUGCACAAUUAUCCUAUUUGCAGUCAGUGCAUCUAAUUCCGACUUGCUUAUUUUAUUUUAUUUUAUUCUUAAUCAAUUAUUCAUUUUACUAUUAUUAUUUUCAAUUUCAUUCUCUUCACAUAAUUUUAACAUGACAGUUGGGCUUGGUUUGCAUGUGGUGCUGUAUUCAUGAUAUAUAAAAAACUAUGAUGGCAUUAAAUUGAUCAUCAAUUUUAUAAAACUUAAUUUAAUUUUAUCAAUUCAAAAAAAUAUAUACAGCACUGACCCAGUUUAACAUAAACAAAAAACCCUUUUUUUCUUUUUUAUUGUUUAAGAAGCAUGGAAAACUAUAGUUUAUUCCCAAAGUUAUUUUUUUCACUUUUAGUCCCUAUAUAUGUUUUCUAGGGUUUCAUGUUAGGGUUUCAAUAGUUAUUAUAAUUUGAAAGGAAGGAGAAAGUUACCAAAAAAAAAAGUAAAUAUAAAAUAUUUGACCAUUCAUAAUUUAACACUAAAAAAAUGAUUUUAUUAUUUAUCAGGUUAGCUUCUGUUCAGAACUGCUAACAAAAAUAAUGAUUAUUUACAACCACUAUUUCUAUUAAUGGUUAUAAAAUAUUAAAUCAAAGUGUUUUAUGUUUUAAAUAUUUUUAUUUUUUCUAGCUAUAUUUCAAAAAACAUUACGACAAAAAAAAAAAAAAAAAACUCUUGAAUGCUACAUGGUAUGGUACCACAAUUAGACCGUGCAAAGAUUUCUUGGUCCCAUAAAUAUUUCUGAUCGGUUAACUUUACUAGUGAUUUAGCAUUUGCUUGGCCUUUAGCAAAUAAUUUCAGGACUGAUUUGAUUUUUUAUCUUGUCUCGUAGCCUUUAUCACGGUGGAAAGUAUGAAUGCACUUGGACAAAAAUAAGAACAAAGACAGAACACAAGUCUGGUCCUCUUCUUUUUCCGUUCACUGGUUUCGGUGCUGUCCCGUCCCCUCUGCUUUUUUGUCCACAGGGCCCAAGUUCAACGUGUUUCGCAAUGCUCAAGACCUCGUCAUCCGCGGAAAAGAAGACUCUAGGGUAGAAUUUUUGUUUUUAUUUUUAAAUUAAUCUUUUAUUAUUAAUUUAAUACAUUAUAUUAAAAAUAAAAUUUUAAAAAUAAAAAAAUAUAUAUUUCAUAAAAAACAUGCAAUCCUGUCUCUCUUUUUUUCAUUUUUUUUGGGGGUGGGGGGAUUUUUUUUUUUUUUUAGGGUUAUAAAACAGAUUGAUGUAGAGUUUAAUUUGAAAUUAAAUUAGUUAAGGAGUUGAUCCGUUUAACUUUUUUUUAUAAAAUUAUUUAAAUUAAGAAUCAAAUCUUGAUAGCUUCUGUUUUAAAUAAAAAUGCGUUGUCAACACAAUAUUAACACAUUUGAUAGAAAUUGAUUUUAAUAAUAUAUAUUUAUAUCUAUAUAUAUUGUUUAAACCACGGCGACUUAGGAUAAGUAAAGGAAUUUUUGUAAUAUUUAUUAAAUAUAAAGGGGAUUUUUAUCAAAUCUUUAAACAUUUAAAUAAUUCAUAUAAUAUUACAAUACUUAAAUGGAAGGUAUUGCAAUUUAUGCUAUUUUAUAUCAUUACUAACAUCAAUUUUUUUUUUUGUUGAAGUCCAUUUGAAAGGAAAGAUUGGACUAACGUCGAGUAUAUAUUUAUCUGCCUUUUUUUUCUAUAUCGUAAAAAAAAACCUUUCAUUAAAAGAGCUUUAAGUUAUAAUAGUUUGGUUUUUUUUUAACAAAAACUGGCAAAACUUGUUUUGCUUUUCUCGAGUUUUUAUAGGAUUUUACUGACUUUGCAUAGGUUUUUUCAAAACUUUUUUUUUAGUUUUAUGGGUUUUUUAAAAACAUUUUAUAUAUCUAGUUAUUUUAAGCCCAAGUUAAUUAACAAUGCACGCAAGGAGAAAAGUAAAUCCACUAAAGUUAUCAAAAGCAAAGUACUCUAAUUCAACUACCAAUAAUAUAUCAUCUAGAUUCAACAAUUAUUUAUUGAACUAUGCUGGACUGGGUUUAAUUUUUGGGUGAAUCAUCACAUACAUAAUAUAUAUAAGCUUUUCUUGUUGCCACUUGCCAUUGAUUAACUUUUAGCGUCAAAUACAUGGACAAAAGAUCUGGAAUUCUUUGAACAGAAAAGCUGGAAUUUAUGCAGUGACAGUGAUACAAAAUCAAGCUAUUAUGCACAAUUAUCCUAUAUGCGGUCAGUGCAUCUAAUUCCGACUUGCUUUUUUAAAAAAAAAAAUAAUAUCCAUAAUCAAUUAUUCAUUUUAUUAUUUUUAUUAUUAUUAAUUUCAUUCUCUUCAAAUAAUUUUAAUAUGACAGUUGGGCUUGGUUUGCAUGUGAUGCUGUAUUCAUGAUAUAAAAAAACUAUCAUGGCAUUAAAUUCAUCAUCAAUUUUAUGAAACUUAAUUUAAUUUUAUCAAUUUAAAAAAAUAUAUACAGUGCUGACCGAGUUUAACACAAACAAAAAAAAACCUUUUUUUUUCUUUUUUAUUGUUUAUGAAGCAGGGAAAAUUAUAGUUUAUUCCCAAAGUUUUUUUUUCACUUGUAGUCCCUCUAUAUGCUUUCUAGGUUUCAUGUUAGGUUUGAUAGUUAUUAUAAUUUGAAAGGAAAGAGAAGGUUAAAAAACAAGUAAAUAUAAAAUAUGUGACCAUCCAUAUUUUAACACUAAAAAAAUGGUUAUAAAAUAUUAAAUCAAAGUGUUUUAUUUUUUAAAUAUUUUUAUCUUUUCUAGCUAUAUUUAAAAUAAAAUAAAAAAAUGAGUCUUGAAUGCUACAUGGUAUAUGGUCCCAGAAUGAGACCGUGCAAAGAUUUCUUGGUCCCAUAAAUAUCUCUGAUCGGUUAACUUUACCAGUGAUUUAGCAUUUGCUUGGCUGGCUGCUUUUGAAUUUUCUUCCCUGCCUUUAGCUAAUAAUUUCUGGACUGAUUUGAUUUUUUUAUGUUGUCUCGUAGCCUUUGUCAACAUGUUCACACGGUGGAAAGUAUGAAUAUAGGAGAGUUUUAUUGGGGUUGUUUUUUAAAUUAUUUUUAUUUUAAAAAAUAUUAAAAUAAUAUUUUUUUAAUUUUUUAAUAAUUAUUUUUUACAUCCGUAUAUUAUAAUAUCUGAAAAUAUUUCAAAAAUAAUAUUUUAAAAUUAAAAAAUUAAUUUUUUUUUAAAAUAUAAAAACAAACAGUAUUUUAAAUAAAAAUAAUAUCACAGACAAAGAACACAAGUCUGGUCCUUUUCUUUUUCCUUUCACUGUUGUUCCGUCCCCUCUGCAUUUUUGUCCACAGACCCAAUUUUAACGUGUCACCCACGGAAAAGAAAACAAGCCUAAUUUUAAUUUUUUUUGAAAUUAUGGGUUGUGAUGCGUUUCUAAACGGUACUUUAUUAUCCCGUCCCCUUUUCGGUAUGCAAAACUGUCUUAGUUUUUCUUUGGGAGUGGGGGGAUUGAUUUGGAGUUUAAUCGGAUUUUAAUUCGAAAUUAAAUUAGUUAAGGAAUUGAUCGUUUAACUUUUUAAAAAAUUAUUUAAACUAAGAAUCAAAUCUUGAUAGCUUGUCUGUUUUAAAUAAAAAUGCUUUGUCAACACACUAUAUUAACACAUUUGAUAAAAAUUGAUUUUAAUAUUAUUUAAUUUCACCGCUACUGUAUAAUAUAAUGAAAGACUAAGGUGAAAUUCUUACCAGUGGUGAUCAGUUUUUGAUUGAUUAGGUUUUUGGUUAAAAAAAAAACCAAAUAUUUUUUUAAAAAAUAUCACAAUUGAACUGUUUGGUUUUUUUAAUAAAAACAGGUAAAACCUGUCUUUUUUUUUUAGUUUUUAUGGGAAUUUACUAAAUUUUCAGUUUUUUUUUUUUUUUUUUUUUAAGUUUUAUGGGUAUUCUUAAACUUUUUAUAUAUCUAGCUAUUUUUAGCCCAGGUUAAUUAACAAUGCAUGCAAGGAGAAAAGUAUAAACAAAAACUUAAAAAAAUAAAAAUAUAUAUUUUAUAAAAAAUUAUUUUCUAGCAAGUAUUAGAAAAAAAUAAUAGCAAAGACAAAGAACACAAGUCUAGUUAUCUUUUUCCUUUCACUGCAGUCCCGUCCCCUCCGCAUGUUUUUUCCACAGAGCCCAAGUUUAACGUGUCAUCCGCGGAAAAGAAGACUUGGGGUAGAAUUUGAGUUUUUUUAAGAAAAAAAAAUAAUAUAUUUUUUAUAUUUUUAUAAAAAUAUUAUAUUAAUAUAUUUUUUUUUAAAAAAACAUUUUGAACGCUCAAGCAAUACUCACUGUCCCGUCCCCGCUGCAGUAUUCUCCAUGGAACCCAAGUUUAAUUCUGAUGCAAUCCUGUCUCAGUUUGUUUGAGGAGUUUAUCGUUUAACUUAAAAAAAAAAUUAUUUAAACUAAUAAUCAAAUCUUGAUAGCUUCUGUUUUAAAUAAAAAUGCUUUGUCAACACACUAUAUUAACACAUUUGAUAGAAAUUGACUUUAAUAUUAUAUACUUAUAUCUAUAUAUAUUGUUUAAACCAAGAAAACAUGCUUAAAUUACGGCGACUUGGGAUACGUAAAGGAAUUUUUUACUAUUUCUGAAAAGUUGUGUAAAAAUUUAUUUUUAAAUUAAGUUUUUUAGGGAUUGAUAAUUGGAACUAGUAGUGUUUAUUAAUCCAAGAGCUGAAAUUCUACUUUUCACUUUUUCACUUUUUGAUGGGUAUUAUGGUUCGGCCAAUGCCAGCCAAAACCCUAAAAAAACUACAUGUGUGCCCCGCUCUCACGCUGGGGCCUAGGAGCCUGGGGAUUUUUAUCAAAAUCUUUAAACAUUUAGAUAAAUCAUAUAUAGUAUUACAAUACUUAAAAGGAAACGUAUUUUAAUUAUAGCAAAAGUUAAAUAGUAUGGAGAAAUUAUUAUAUAUUAAAAGAUAUUUUAUUAUGAAUUGUAAUAAUAUUUUAAUUUUUUAUUUUAUUUUUUUAUUUUUAUUUUUUUAUUUUUUUUGUUGUUUGUGUUUUUUUUUUCUCUUAACAACUAAACUACUCAAUUGUCUUUUUUAUUAUUAUUAUUUAUCAAAUUAGACAUAACCGUUAUACCCAAUUCUCUUAGAUCUGGUUUGGCUAUAUCUAAUUAUUUUAGAUUUUGCAUGACAAUUAAACCGAAGGCUCUUGGGUUUGUCAUGACCACUAAACCCAAUAGCCUAUAAAAAUAUUUUUAAAAAUAAUAAUUAAGAUUUAAGUUUUAAAUACUUUAAUGAUAAUUUAAAUAUUUUUAUAAAAACAAAAAAAAUUAUAAACAAAUUAAUUUAGGAUUUCUGUUUAGGAUACUUUAAGAUAAUUUAAAUAUUUUUUGUAUAAAAUAUUUAUAAAAUUAUUAAUUAAUAUUUUUGUUUAGAAUAUUUCAAGGAUAUCUAAAUGUUUUUUUAUAAAAAAUAAAAAAAAAUUAAUUAGGAUUUUUGUUUAGGAUACUUCAAUGAUAGUUUAAUUUUUUUUUAAUAAAAAAUAACAAAAAUAAUUAUAAUUUUUUAUGAUAAUUAAAGGAUAGUUUAAUUUUUUUAAAAUAAAAAUAAUUUAUAAAGGAAUUAAUUAGAAUUUCUGUUUAGAAUUCUUUAAUGAUAGUCUAAAUGUUUUUUUUUUCAAGACUUUUGGGUUUAACAUGGCUACUAGAUUCAAUUCACUUUAGUAUAGUAUGACUGUCAAACCCAAUAAAUUUAAAAUAUUUUUUAUACUUUUAAUAUCUUUUUAACAUUUUUUUUUAAAAAAGAUAUUGAUCUACUGUGAAGAAUAACCCAAAAAGUUAGUUUAUGUUAUUUUAUAUCAUUAUUAACGUCAAAAACUUUUUUUUUUUCCAUAAAGUCCAUUUGAAAGGAAAGAUUGGAUGAAAUUAGAAAUCACAAGACAUCGUUUGUUUGGCGAAAAAUGAUUUUCUAAAACUAUUUUUUAAUUUUUUUUGUAUUUGUUUGUCAUUAAAAAUGUUGGUCAACAGAAAACACUUUUCAAUUAAAGAAAAUUUUUGCUUAGUUUCAAGAAAAGUGUUUUUUUUUUUUUGGCGGAAAACAUUUUUCAGAAGUUAUGAAAAAAUUAAAAAUAUCAUCUUAUUUACUAAUUGUAUCCAAUUUGGUCCUUCAAUUUUUUAUUGCUAUAUAUAUUUUGUUUAUAAUAUUUAUUUUUCAAUUUUAUCCAUUAGAAUUUGAUUUUUAUAUUAACUUUGAUCCUUAUUUUUAUGAUUAUUAUUUGAUUUUGAUCUCUUAUCAUUUUUUUUAUUGAAAUUUUUUAUCUAUCAAAUUUGAUCAUUCUUUUAAUUGUUACUUAUUUUAUUUAAAAUAAUUUAUAAAAUUAUAAUAAUUAUUAUUUUAAUUUCAUCAUCUUUUAAUUUUUUUAAUCUGUUAAAUUUGAUCUCUAUUAUUUUAAUUAUUAUUUAUUUUAUUUGAGAUAGUUUAUGAAAUUAUAUUUUUUUUCAAUUUCAUUCUCAUUCACCUUUUUAAUUUGUUUCUUAUUAUUUUAAUAAACUUGAAAAACAAUAAAACAUUAAUAAGUUAUUUUCUAGCUCAUUUUCUAUGACAUAAUCAAACACUAAAAAAUAUUUUUAAACUUUUAUUCCAUGAUACUACCAAACAUCGAAAAAUAAUUUACUUUUUUAAAAUUUACUUUUCAAAUAAAAUUACUUUUCAAAUAGAAACUACUUUCCAGCAAAUAAAUGGGUCGAAGUUAAAAAGAAAAGUCAACUUGGUUUUGGACCUUACGACUCGAUCCAUAAUCUGGAUUUUAGACCUAUAAAGCCCACGUUCUGGCCAUUUUGUUGCAAGGCCCAUUAUGCCUAGAAAUUAUUCCCGAGAUGUUAAAAAACGUUGUUCAUGUUAAGAAAAAUAAUCUUUCUAGAGUGGUGAUAUAUAUAUAUAUAUAUUUGCGCUACGGAAAGCAAAGAUAACAAGGUGCAGGGGUGGAUGUGCCAAGACCCAGCAGUGGGAUUUUGGAUCAUCACACAAUAUGCAUUACAUAUAGUGUGUUUGUAUAAUUAACAUAUACAUAAAUUGUUCAUUAUUUUUUAUAUAAAAAAACGAUUCAACCAAGAAAAUUGGUUAAAUUUUGAAUGAAUAUCAAGAAUUAUUAUAUAUAAAAAGAUUUUAAUUUAUAAUCAUUUGAUAAACCUAUAUUAAAUAUCAUAUCAAAUAAUCAUCUAAAUCAAUCAAACAAAAGGUAUAAAAUAGUAUUAUAUAUUUAUAUUAAUUCAAUAUCAUAGGAUUCCAUGCACACAUGUAGACAGUUUGAUCCGAAGAAUGAUGUGAUAUAUACCGUAGGUAAAAGCAAUUAAACUCGAGAUUGGUUUUUUUGCUCAGGUUCCCAGGUAAUAUACUCUUCUUCUUUCUAUUGGUUCUUCUGUAAUUACACACACACACACACUUUUUGCAUCGUAGGGAUGAAGGAAACAACUGGUCAUUACACAUUCCAAUUGGAUUUAGCAUCAGCCCAUUUAUGUGCCCUUCAGGUAAAAAUCUUCACAUUCUUUCGAACAAAUGUUUUUUUCAAAAGUAAAAUAAACUGAGUUACUUUCUCAUGAUUUGAUCGAUCUUUUUUUUCAAUCUGUACGAGAAUUGUGCUUACUUUUUCAAUGAAGAAUAAAAAAAUAAUUCUAAUAAUUGAAUACACAUCUUAUCCCUCUGGAAACUCAGAGAGUGCAAUAUCAUUAUGAAGGAGAGAGUACUUAUUUUCAUUGAAAAUGAUUAUUGUCUACAUUAAUAAGACACACAGAGAGAAUAAUCAUGUGCAUCAACAGUAGAGAGAAUCUUGAAGAGAACAAAGGAGAGUAAAUAUCUAUGUCUUCGAAAACAUUUUCAAAUGCCCUUUUGCCGCGCAGAAUUCUGAUCCUAAUAUCAAAAUCGUUUCCUUUUAUGAAUUAGUUUUGAUUCUUUUUUUGGGGUGCAAAGUUUUUGAUGAAAACUAAAAUACAUGAAAGAUUGUAUGUAAGGUUUUUGUAUAUUUAGACACAUAUAAGAAGAUCUUUUCGCUAAUUAUCGUGUGAUACUAAUUUCUUUAUUUUUUGUAAUUAGGUUUUGUUUUUUCGAUUCAUAAAUGUUUUUCUACAACUGGGAUGCGCAUAUAUUACCAUGCAUGGUUUUUUUAAGAAAAACUGUGAAAAUUAAAAUAAAAAAUAUAUUAAUUUGUAAAUUUUCAGUAAAUAUAUUCUUUUUAGUACUCACAAAAUUAAAUAAAUUCAAUUAAAUAAAAUUUCAAAAUAUAUUUUAUAUUAUUUUUUUUAACUAAUAACAGGUAUAACAAUCAAACACUAAUUUGAAGUAAAAUAAAAAAAAAUAAAAUCAGUUACAUUACUUCUUCAUGAGAGAAUGAAAAGAACAGGAUCCGAUGGAAUCGCCAUAUAUCAUGUGAAGUUUACAAUUUCCACCACCGGUUCCAACGGUCAAGUGAAAUGAGUUUGUAAACUUGCUUUGCACUUCUAUAUUAUGUAAUUAUUUAUUUUUGUCAAUAUUUAUUAAUACCAGGCUGCAAAGUCAAUGCUCAGAGAGGAGAAUGAUUAACUAUGUGCACGCCCUUGCAUUAUGAAUUUGUCUAUGACGACGUCCUCUUUAACAUGGUAGAGUUUAAUUUUCUUAGAUAAUUAAUUAAUUAAUUAAUUAAUUAAUUCUCUUUGGUCUUUCCUUCAAGAUCCAACAUCCCAUUUGCAAAAUAAUUAUAUGAAAAGAAAGUCGGUCCAAUAUUAAAUUAUAUAAUAAGUUACAAGUCAAUCAUUACCAUUAUUUUAUCAAAUUACAUGUUAUAUUUAUAGAGAGCAUAUAGGCCCUUGUUUGACAUAUUCAUACUAUCAUACACUUCAACUCAUUUGUUCUUCUCCACAAUCAAAUACAGGCUUCAGCAGAAAAAGUUAUAAUGGCGGUAAGCGUGUAUACAUUUAGUGGAUGAAAUUAACCGCAGGUUAAUUAAAAAGAGCUUUCUAUUAAUUAAUAUUUUCUCGUAUCAUAUUACAACUGAAAGGAAAGAAUGGCACACUUGUAUUGAAAAUUUUCGUUGUAUUUUACCCAGUCGAUCAUAGAAAUGAGAGUGCAUAUGGAUUGUGCUCGAUGCGAGAGCAAGAUGAAAAAUGCUCUGGAAAAAGUCAAAGGUAAGAAACCACCUCCACUAAAAACUUUAUGCAAGCGACAAUUUUCUUCAUAAUCAUCCCUUUUUUUUCAUGAAUUAUUUUCUAUGUUCCUCUCUUUUUAAGAUUUCCUUUGGACAUAUUUUCUUGGACUAUAUCUUAAACUUUUGUAUUUAUACAUAUACACACACAGGCGUAGAUGACAUAGAUAUAGAUAUGAGGUUGCAAAAGGUGACGGUCAUAGCACUACAAGAUUUCACAGUUUUACCGACGGAAAUAUUCCGUCGGUGUGUGACAGAACGUUCGUCGGUAAAGUAUUUACCGACUAUAUUACCGACGGAAUACUCCCGUCGGCAUACCUUUUGUCGGUAAUUCCACAUUUCGUCGCUAUAUCCGUCGGUAAUAAAAAAAACACAUUUACCGACGGCCUGUGCGCGCCAAAAAAAAAAAGUUUCCCUCUUGGAAUAUACCGACGGAAUACAUUCCGUCGGUGUUAUGUAAAUACCGACGGAAUAACUCCGUCGGCAAAAGUGUCGGUGAUAUUUCAUACCGACCGAAUAAAUCCGUCUGUAAAUUCAUCGGUAUUUUUAUACCGACGGAUUAUUUCCGUCGGUGAAUAUGUCGGUAUUUUUAUACCGACGGAUUAUUUCUGUCGGGGAGUAUGUCGGUGAUGGGAUGGCAUACCUCAGACACUGUCCAAUGCCGACGGAUUUAUUCCGUCGGUAAAUCACUGUGUAAUUUUUUUUUUUUUAAUUAUUUAGAAAAAAUAAUUUAAAUUAAUAGUAAUACAAACCAAUUAUGCAAAUAAAAUUUAUAUUAAGCAACAAAAACUCAAAGUUAAAUAAUAUUCAUUACAAAAUGAAUGUGUUUUAAAAAAAACAAUUAAUAUAAAGGUGGAGGAGGAGGAGGGUGGGGGUUAGGCGGCCAAAAAGGAUUAGGCGCACAUGUUCCGCCUUGUGUCAUGUUCAUGACCAUUUGACGAAGCUCUUCAUAGGCCGCUCUUUGUUGUUCAGACUCUGCUCUGCGUUGUUCGUCCGCCAAUCUGUGUUGUUCGUUCGCCAAUCUUUGCUCUUCUUUGAGUUGUGUGUACGCCUCUGAUAGGUGGUCGCACCUUUGCUGCAAGGCCACAAACUCCUUAGAUUGGGAGCUCGAUACAGAUUGGGAGCUCCCACCGGUUGAAGCAGUACCGGUCGACCGCAACUUGGCAGCGGUAGUGUUGGAGAGCCCGUAAACCCGAUUUUUAUCGGGUCCACCUGACGAUCCAGCCUCCAUCCACAAAUCCGGAUCGAAUUCCGGAUGGGUCGAAGGAUCAUCCCCGUAUCUCUCCCUCAACCGAUUAUUAUAGGUCUCCUGAAAAAAAAAAUCAUAUUCAAUUCAAUAAACAUAAUAAUAACUUACAAAAUAAAAUGGUUAAACAAACACACCACAAACUGUUGAGCACGGUUGUCAACGAACUGUUGCGUCCCCUUUUGGCGGUCAUGACUCCGCACGUGCGUCUCCACAAACAGCUCCAUAGGGCUCCGCUCACGUCCAAGAGACGUAGCCUAUAUAUAAUGAAAAAAAUGUAUUAACAACAAAUUAAUUGAACGAUAUAUUUCAUUUAAAUUAAUCUUACCAUCCGUUUCGCAUGUGCAGCAAACGGAACGGAGCCGCCGGUGUGCGUUGUAACCGAGCCAUGAAUUUGCCGAUUCCGGUUGCCGGCACCGGACUGUGAGCGUCGAGUGAACCGCUCAAACGUCACGUGCUGAAGAUAGUGCGGCCAUAUAUCUUCCGGGAUGUAUAUUGGUUUGAAAUCCCUCCAAACCGCAACAUCGUUCCAGCCUUGUAACCCCUUAUCCCUCGCUGUUUUUUUUGCUUUUUUCUGGGCGUCAUACCAAAAAUCACGCAACCUAAUUCACGCACGAAAAAAUUACAUUUCAAAACAUAAAUAAUUAUGUAAAAAAAAGUCGUAUUGUUUUCGAUGUUACCUAAUUGCCGCGUGAUUUUCCCACACCCUCCUCACAACACUAUCAUGUUCAUCGUCCCAGCAGAAUCGAUGCUGUAUAUAAAAAAAUAAUUUUUUAAAAUGUUAAUAAUUUAUUUACAAUUAUAACAUGAAUUUAUAAUUAGAAAUAAGCUGAAAAUUAUAUAUUAACACGAACCUCAAAUCUACGAAACCAUGCAUUGAUUUGAGGCAUCCAUUCAGGAUGUCUGGAUAUCUGACUCCAUUGAAACAAUGGAAUCUCCAUCGACGCUUUAAACGCCGAUGAUAUUAAUCGGGCGGCCUCAAUGUUGUGAACCUGAAAGAAAUGAAAUUAAUUUGUGAUUACUUCAUAAAUUAUGUUUUAAAUUUGUUUUUUUUAUAUAAAAAAACUAAAACAUUAACAAACUUACAUUGAAAGAUCGUCCUUCCACUGUGCCUCGAACUGGCGGGUAAAUUGAUUCCGCUUCGAAGGCAUGCCGCGUCUGCGAUGUGAAACAUCGCUGGAAGAGGCAGCAUCGGUUGACGGCGCAGGUGUAGGUGCCUCUUCUUGAGAGGCACCUAAGGAAACAUCAUCAUCGCUGCUAGACGAACUUGAUUCGACUGACGACCAGCUCUGGUUUUCAUUUGCGCAUCUAAACAAUUUUAUAUUAAUAAUUGUAAAAUAAAAUUCAAAAGUUAAAAAAAAAUCGGCAGCACCUCCCCUAUACUGGAUACUACCCAAAUCCACAAACCUGCAAAUAUUAACAAUAGCCACAACCAAUCGAACCAAUCUAUACUAAUUAUUCCAACAUAUUCAACUAUUAAUCCUAAGAUAAAUUCAACGUUAACAAUUACAAUUCACAAAUUAAUCAAUAAUUAUAUUCAAAACAAUAAAAAAUAUAACAAAAAAUAAAUUCAAUAAAUUCAACAAAUUAUACUUCAACAAAUUAACAAUUACAAUUCAACAUUAACAAUUGUAAUUCAACAAAUUCAAAAAAAUUCAAAUAUUCAACUUUAACUAAUUCUAAGUUAAAUUAACUAAUAACAAUUCUAACACAACAACAAAAAAUAUUCAAUAAAUUCAACAAUUAAAUUCAAUUAUUCAACAAUUAAAUUAACAAAUAUUCAACAAAUUCAAAAAAUAUUCAAAAAAUUCAAUUUUAACUAAUUCUAAGUUAAAUUAACUAAUAACAAUUCUAACAACACAACAACAAAAAAUAUUCAAUAAAUUCAACAAUUAAAUUCAAUUAUUCAACAAUUAAAUUAACAAAUAUUCAACAAAUUCAAAAAAUUCAACUUUAACUAAUUCUAAUUUAAAUUAACUAAUAACAAUUCUAACAACACAACAACAAAAAAUAUUCAAUAAAUUCAACAAUUAAAUUAACAAAUAUUCAACAAAUUCAAAAAAUAUUCAAAAAAUUCAACUUUAACUAAUUCUAAGUUAAAUUAACUAAUAACAAUUCUAACAACACAACAACAAAAAAUAUUCAAUAAAUCCAACAAUUAAAUUCAAUUAUUCAACAAUUAAAUUAACAAAUAUUCAACAAAUUCAAAAAAUAUUCAAAAAAUUCAACUUUAACUAAUUCUAAGUUAAAUUAACUAAUAACAAUUCUAACAACACAACAACAAAAAAUAUUCAAUAAAUCCAACAAUUAAAUUCAAUUAUUCAACAAUUAAAUUAACAAAUAUUCAACAAAUUCAAAAAAUUCAAAAAAUAUUCAAAAAAUUCAACUUUAACUAAUUCUAAGUUAAAUUACCUAAUAACAAUUCUAACAACACAACAACAAAAAAUAUUCAAUAAAUCAACAAUUAAAUUCAAUUAUUCAACAAUUAAAUUAACAAAUAUUCAACAAAUUCAAAAAUUCAAAAAAUAUUCAAAAAUUCAACUUUAACUAAUUCUAAGUUAAAUAACUAAUAACAAUUCUAAACAACAACAAAAAAUAUUCAAUAAAUUCAACAAUUAAAUUCAAUUAUUCAACAAUUAAAUUAACAAAUAUUCAACAAAUUCAAAAAAUAUUCAAAAAAAAAAAGGAACGAAAUAUACAUACCUUAAUAAUGUGUCAAAUUCAAAACUUUAUCUACAUUGCAACAAAAAACACCAACACAACAAAAAUAAAAACAACUAAAAAUAAAAUAAAAUAAAAUAAAUUAGAAAAAAAACACAUACCUUUUAAUAUAAUGAAGAUUUACAACACCAAAUCUUGCUAGAGAUUAAAGGUGAAAGUGUUUAAGGAUUGAGGGGGAAAAAAUGAAAAAUCUAGGCUGAAAAACGCAGGAGAAGAGAAGAAGCGGCGGGGGUGGAACUUAUAGGUCAAUUUUACCGACGGAAUCCCCGACGGAAUUAACAUCCGUCGGUAAAAGGUCAAAAAUCCGUCGGUAACAGGUCAAAAUUCCGUCGGUAUUUUUCGAAUUUCGCCCCGAAUUUUUAAAAGCCCUCCAAAAUUUUCGCAGUCCGUCGGUAAUCUGACAAGUUCAGAGGCGCAUUAAUUAAUGCACUUUGGGAAACGCGCGGUCCGUCGGUAAUUUUGUUGGUAAAAUGGGUAACCGACAAAUUACCGACGGACCUACGCCGUCGGUAAUCCCGUCGAUGGUGGUGUUAUGUUUUCGAGCUUACUGUGAGAUGCCGACGGAUUUUAUUCCGUCGGCAUGGCCGUCGGAUUUUAUUCCGUCGGCAUGGCCGUCGGUGAUUGUGGCAUUUUGUUGUAAAUAUUUUCGAACUCUCUGUGAGAUACCGACGGAUGGUGAUCCGUCGGUGAUUGUGGCAUUUUGUUGUAAAUAUUUUCGAACUCUCUGUGAGAUACCGACGGAUGGUGAUCCGUCGGUUGGCGUCGGUGAUUGUGGCAUUUUGUUGUAAAUAUUUUCGAACUCUCUGUGAGAUACCGACGGAUGGAUCCGUCGGUAUGGACGUCGGUAAGUUUGCAUUAUGCAGGAAAGGUUGUCUUUGUAUUGCCUGUUUACCUUCCUGCAAAACUUAACUGAUAAACUGUCCAUCACAUAAAACAAUAACCACAUUGCUUAAACAUAAAUAUUUUGUUUUACAAAAUACAUCAUCAAUAAUCUAAAUUACAUGAGACAAAUGUUUUUACAUAGGGCUUCAUUUUCAUAAUUAGUCGGAAUUUUCUUCUUCUUCCUCAUCAAUUGAAUUGUCAUCAUCUUCAUCGCAAUCUUCAAUAUGGAUAUCAUCUUCUUCAUCGACAUUUGCUUGUCCGCUAGAGCUGAGAACAACAUUCAACUCCUCUCCGUCAAUAUCAACAAGACUAUCAUCGAGAACUCGAAAAUUUGAAUUUUCUUCCAAUUCAAUCGAAGGAGCAACUCGAUAUGGUUCAACCAACUCACGAACUUGAAAGACUUCAUCUCGCACACUUGUGUCUUCGUUCUCAUCCUGAACAACCUCGACACGACCCCGUGGUUUCGUUUUUAAAACGGACAACCAAUCAACUCUUGAACGAUCCUUUCUAAAUGAAGGGGUGUAUGUGUAAUAAACUUGUUGACAUUGCUUUGCGAAAACAAAGACAUCGUUUAUGUUGCGGAGUCUAGCUUUUGAGUUGAUUUCGACCAGACCAUGGUGCGGAUCAACUCUGAUUCCUCUGUCCGUCGUGUCAUACCAAUAGCAUUUGAAUAAAAACACUUUAUUCUGCUCGCUAUGAUAUUGCAGUUCGACGACCUCUUCUAAUCUACCAUAGUAGUCAACUUCUAACUGGCUACUUGUGGAUCCCUUAACACAAACACCGCAGUUGUAUGUCUUUCUUCCUUGCCCGUAUUCUUCAGUAUGGAAAACAUAUCCAUUGACAAAAUACCCGUUGUAGCACUUAACUUUUCUUUCAGGGCCGAGGCUUAGUGAAGACAAUGACUUGGGCGCACUCCUUCCCAUUUGAUAAACCUUGUAAAUAUAUGUAAUUAAAUGUACAUCAAUACACGGUAAAUGAACGAGAAUCUCGUAAUGACAUGCAUACGUUAGAAUGAGUUUGUGAUAGUGCUUACAUGUGUUCUGAACCAUGUGGCAAAUUGUUCAUCUUGUAAUUGAAAGAUCUGGGAUUCGGUCAGCUGCGAGUUAUUGGAGAGCAAAUAUUGUCGAUGUUGCCUGCAAGUGAUAAUGAGUGUAUGAUAUUACAAUAUAUAAUUAACAGUAUAUUACUGACAAAGUUUAAUUAGUAUUACACAUAUAUAGACUUACUGAAUAAAUGGUCUCAGCUCAUCACAGUUAAAUAGAACAUAGUUGUGUGCUUGUUUGAAUUCUAUUUCCGACAAAUAUCUUCCUCUUACGGCAUUUUUAGGUGUGGGUCGUCCAGUAUUGGAGAAUAUUGACAAGUUCCCACUGGAAGGCACUUCACCGCCAUCGUCAUGCCGUGGAACGCGAUUGAUUCUUGUUCUCAGAUGAGGUUCGAAAUAGUACGAGAUAAAUGUUGAUAUCUCUUCAACAAUAUAGGCCUCAGAUAUCGAAGCCUCAACAUGCGCCUUGUUCUUAACCUUUUUUUUUAGAUUAAACAAGUACCUGCAUUGAAGUACAAUUCAAGUAUUUUCAAAUAAGAAAAACAUAGAAAAUACUUUAAGAUAUGAAUUCCAUUGCAACUGUAAUAUCUCACCGUUCGAAUGGGUACAUCCAUCUAUACUGGACCGGUCCUCCAGCUUUUGCCUCGAACGGUAGAUGUAUAGGGAGAUGCUCCAUUGAGUCAAAAAAUGAAGGAGGGAAUAUCAUCUCAAGUUUGCAUAGUGUCUCGAUGAUAUUCGUUUGAAGCAUCUCAAUGUGCUCAACAUUCAUCUUGCUGGAGCAUAUAUCUCUGAAGAAAUGACUGAUCUCCGUUAGUGCAUCCCAUAUUCCCUUUGGCAACAAAUCACGAAAAGCUAAUGGGAUGAGUGUUUGCAUAAACACGUGGCAGUCAUGGCUCUUCAUUCCAUACAAUCUGCAGUCCUCUAUGUUAACAAGCCUUGAUAUGUUCGAUGCAUGUCCAUCCGGGAAACGCAGACUCUUAAGCCAUUUGUAGACUAGCAGUUGUGCGUUUUUCUCUAACACGAAGCUUGCCCUUGGUUUUGCAACCCGUGACUCGUCAUAAACCAACUCCAUAUUUUUACGGUUACAGUAUAAAGCUAUAUCCAAUCUAGCCUUCAUGUUGUCCUUUGUCUUCCCCUUCACAUCCAUGACGGUGUUGAAAAUAUUCUCAAACACGUUCUUUUCGAUGUGCAUGACGUCAAGGUUAUGGCGGAGAAGAUUAGUCUUCCAAUACGGAAGCUCCCAAAAGAUACUUCGCUUUACCCAAUUAUGGGUCAAACCAAAACCAGGAAACUUUUGCUUACCUGAUUGAAGGCCAAACACAAUGUCACCGUACUCUGAUACAACAUGAUGCAAUUCUUCACCAGAAAGACGGGGAUGCAACAUCUUUUUCAACUCUACCAACAAAGAAAUCUUUUCUGUUCUUUCUGAACCUGUGAUUAAGUGGCAAGAAGCGACGGUGACAGUCAAAAAAAGAAGCUUUACCUCCGUUUGCUAGCGUGAAUGCCUUGUUGUUUUCCAUGCAGUAUGGACAUGCGAGUUUCCCAUGCGUGCUCCAACCAGAAAGCAUUCCAUAAGCUGGAAAAUCACAUCAUCAAAGCCGAGGAAAUUUUGUUUCCUCGAUAUAUCAUAAGUCAGAGAUCCGGAGGACCACAACUGCGCCAGCUCAUCUAUCAACGGUCGAAGACAAACAUCUAUAUUCCGCCCCGGGCUGCUUGGACCGGGUAUGACAGUAGAUAGAAACAUGAACUCCGGCCUCAUACACAUUCCCGGUGGCAAGUUAUAAACUGUGAGAAUGACCGGCCAACAAGAAUAGGGAGCAGCAAAUGACCCAAAUGGGUUGAACCCGUCUGUACACAACCCAAGUCGAACAUUCCUUGAUUCAGCAGAAAAGUCAGGAUGAACACUGUUAAAGCGUUUCCACGCUUCGCCGUCAGAAGGAUGCACCAUCACACCAUCAACGACAUCGUGUGUUUGGUGCCAUGUCAUGUGCUCAGCAGUCCUUGGUGACAUAAAUAACCUCUGCAGUCUAGGUGUGAUCGGGAAAUAUCUAAGUUUUUUAUAUGCCACUAGAGUCUUCCCCCUGCCAGUUCUGGGUUUGUAACGGGAAUGCCCGCAUGUCAUGCACUCGGUCAUCACAGCAUUUUCAAGGUAGUAUAACAUGCAGAAGUUAGGGCACAUGUCAAUUUUCUGGUAUCCUAAACCGAGGGGUUUCAUCAUGGACUUCGCAGCAUAGAAGUUCUCUUUGAGCCUGUUCCCUUCUGGUAAAAUGCUUCUUGCCCAAUCAAUAAUUUUGUCAUACCCGGCCUCACUCAACCCGUGAUCUGACUUGAUGGUGAACACCUGUGCCACAGCCGAUAAUUUACUGUGGUUUGUGCAGCCAUCCCAUAAUGGUUCGUCAGAAUCUUUCAACAAAUCAAAAAACCUAGCUGCCUCUGCAUUAGGUUCUUCUUCUACGAUUGGACAUUGAUUGACAUUAUCUUGAUUCAUUCUCAUUGCAUCCAUAACCAUGUUUCUGUAAGGAUUAGUGUUGUCAUUUGCCGCUUCAUGCACGUUGCUAGCACUAGAAGUUGACCCAACCACCGUUUCUCCCAUUCUCCUAUUACUAACAAAUACCUCUCCAUGUGCAUACCAACACUCGUAAUCCUCCACAAACCCUUUGUGUAGAAGAUGCAUCAUUACAACAUCUGGAUGCAGAUACUUUUUAUUUUGACACUUCCUGCAUGGACACCUAAUACCGCCUCCAGUAAAAUUUCUGGGAAUAGAUGUUGCGAAAUUAAUAAAACCCUGAACCCCGUUACAAUAAUCCAUCCUCCGCAAUCCUUGGGGUGAAUCUAGAUACAUCCAUGAACGAUCAUCCAUGACUUCUAUCGAACCUCUAUAAAAAGGACCCAUUAAUUAAGCAAGCUCUUAAUUAUUUCAAAACACAACAUGUAAUUCGGUAAUUCUACAAAUUAAGUUUUAACAAUUUUCAAACAAAUACAAUCUUACAAAAUCUAAAACAAACCAUAACAAGUAUAAAAUUAUACAUUCAUAUACUACAAGUUUGUUUGAGAAAUAACAAUAAAACAUGUACAUCUACUAAAAAAAAAACAAUACAUAUACUAAAAAAACAAUAAAAUUGACAUUUAAAUGUUAAAAUUUUAAAAGAUAGAAUUACUUACAAAAAAUGAUAAAAUCCGUCGGUAAAUCAGAACACGGAUGCUGUGACCACAAAACAAAUACAACUUGUUGUGCUGAGAUGAGGAAGAUUUUGUUUUGGGGCGAGGGGGGGCUGGUUAUUUUGCAGAUGGGGAGGGUUAGGAUUAGGAAGAAGAAGGAGAAAUGGGGGAGAGAGUGUCGGCAGAGCCAUAUAUUCACUUUUGCCGACGGACUUACCGACGGUUUAUCCGUCGGUGAAUCCGUCGGCAAAACCGUCGGUAAUUCUGACGGGCAAUCGACACGUCACCGCACGGACCUGCUGUUCAAAUCCCUCGGUGAUUCCGUCGGUAUUUUUAACGGUGCACUCGUCACGUCACUGGUACUGAUCUGGCAUUUCAAAUCCGUCAGUGAUUCCGUCGGUAUUUUUAACGGUGCACCCGUCACGUCACUGGUACUGAUCUGGCAUUUCAAAUCCGUCGGUGAUUCCGUCGGUAUUUGUUGACGGAAUAGGUCCCAUCACGCGUACGGGCCCCAAUUUUUAAUUCCGUCGGAAAACUCACCCGCCAAAACCUCCGCGCCACUGCCCGCCCUUUUUUCAUUAAUUCUGAAUUUUCGGUCGGAAAUUACCGACGGACGUCGUCCAUCGGUAAGUACCGACCGAAUUACCGACAAAUAUUGUCCGUCGGUGAUAUCGGCCGAAAAAUACCGACAGAAAAAAUUCCGUCGGUAUGUCCGUUGGUAUUUAGCGAUUUUCUGGUAGUGUAGGAUGGGCUGACCAAAAAAAGGUUCUAAAGACAGUUCGUAAGACAAGAAGAAGAGCUGAGCUCUGGCAAUUACCUUACAAUCCACAACAUCAUAGCUAUUCUGACCAUUACUAUAACCAACACCAAGUUAACGGUCCACUUACUUACUAUGCUCCUCAGCCUUCCUCUUCUUACAAUUACUACAAGCAUGGAUAUGAUAGCAAUUAUCAUGGUUAUUAUCAUCAUCCUGUGCAUUCCUCCAUCUUUAACCACCAGACAGGAGCAACUUUCAGUGAUGAAAACCCUCAUGGUUGUUCUAUAAUGUGAACAACGUAGUAUAUAUAUAUAUAUAUAUAUAUAUAUUAUUCUUACUAUUUAUGUAUUUAUCCUGCUUUGUUUUUCAUGUACUAAUUUUCUUUUCACUUUAUGUUUUGUUAAACCUUGUUCACAUGAAGCUAUAAAAUAUAGACAAGAAUUGCCUUUUUUUCCAUUCAUUUUGCAACUUAUAAAUUGUUUUAUUCUGAUUUGUGCCUAGGCAUGGUAUUGUCUACUGAGAAAACCGAGCUCCAUUGAUCUUUUCUUUUUACUAAACUAAAUCGCCACCUGUUGCAAUUAAAAUUUUGAUCAACAUUAAUAUCAUUCGGAUAGGAUUAGGAUGUACUCUUCCACAAACUCUAAUAAAUCUUUUCCAAAGAAGAGAUGCCUUGGAAUGUUUUAGAAAUGGGAUAAUAUUCUCAUAUGCAUACCUAACUUAUUCGCUAUUAUCCUUUCUCAGUUGUGUCCCUAAACUAUAUAUUUAAGCAAUUAGGUCCAGAAUGUAUCUAGGAAUUAUCAAUCUGAUCCUUUCAUCCUCAAAUAUACUUUGUAGUCAUCUUUAGGUGUGGACUCGGUUGAGAAAAUUCUUAAGCAAUUUUUUUAUGGACAAAUCCAAUUGAGAAUUCUUGGGACCAGUUGGUUGACAGUUAUAGUUGGGUUAAGGAUCAAAUUUAGAAAAGAAUUAGAGAUAGGGGACUAAAAUUAUGUUACCCAGGAACCCCAUAAAAAUUAGGGAUGAAAACUGUCAGUGAAUAUAAAUUAUAUCUUAUGACCUCACUUAACAACUUAAAGUUUUAAAUUGAGAUGAUUUUUUUAUAUGAUAUCAAAACCUUGAUGACCAAGCGGUUACAAAUUCGAAUUUCACCAUCCUUAUUUAUUUGAUAAAAAUUAAGCACAAUGUACUAUGGAUUUGUGUAAGUUUCAAGCUCAAAGAGCUUUCACUUAAGGGGGUCUUAGAGAAUAAUAUAAAUAAUAUCUUAGGAACUCAUGUAGCAGUUUAUGUUAUUAAGUUGGGAUGAUUUUUUAACAUGGUAUAAGAGCCUUUAUGGCCAAGCAGUCACGAGUUCGAAUCUUACCAUCUUCAUUUAUUUGAUAAAAAUUAAGCACAAGGUAGUGUGAGUCUGUGCAAGUUUCAAGCUCAAAGGACUUUCAUUUGAGGGAGUGUGUUAGAGAAUAAUAUAAAUCAUAUCUUAAGAUCUCACCUAACAAUUUAAAUUUUUAGGUUAAAAUGAUUCUUUGACAAAAAUAUCACCACUUAACAUAUAUUAUACUAGGAAUCCUCUCAUUUAAUUGAGUUUGGUUUUAACCCAGUUUGAUUAGGAUCCAACCUAGUGUGAAUAUAACUUAACUCGUAUUUAUUUUUUAGCAUACAAAUGAGUGUGUGGUUCGCCCAAUUAAUACCCAACUAUGUUUUAUUUUUAUUAUUAUUUCCUAAGUAUUCUAAGAAUUUUUGUGACUUAUAGUUUUUAAUUUUUUGUUUACUUAAUUAAUAUUAUUAGAAAAAAUAUAUGUAUUUUAAAAAUUAAUUUUCAAAUUUCUUUAAGCUUUUCAAACAUUUAGCAGGUAAGAAGUUUCCAAAUCUUUGUAAAGGGAUGAUGAUAGGAAUUCACGGGUUAGGUUUCGGUAUUAUCUAUACUUGAAUUCAAACCCAAAACAUUAUCAAUAUCCGACUCAAAACUCGAUGAGUGUAAUUUUGAAUAUCAUAAUCUAAUCCGAUCAAGUUUUAGUUAUCGAUUCAGAUACCCAUUACCUAACUGCUAUAAUCGAGUUUGCGGAAGCUAAACGUUCUGAUCAUCUACAUGAGAAUUUAUCACAAAAGGACUAUUUAGAAUUUUAGAUGACUUAACAAAUGUUUUUAUAAACUAGUAUUGAGAUAAGAUAAGUCUAAGAGAAUAUAUGGUCAUGCUAGCUAUACUAUACUAGAGCAGCGACUUAAAACAGAGAUAAUAAGGGAUUCGAUGGUUGGUCGAGAUCAAAUUUUUAUAAGAGAUUAUACAAGUUAUUUUCCUUUGGGAAGCCACUCAAUUAUUUAUUAGACAACUAGAUCUUUCAAAAUUAAGCCCAAAAAUGGUUCAGAUAAGUGUUUGCCCCAUUAGAAGGUAAGUGUUUGCCCCAUUAGAAGAGUCAUUCAUUUUUUUUUUAAUCAUAAUUGUUGUCUUUUUCGCUUUCACUUGCAAACUGAGCGAAUUAUCUUUUGUGAGAUGGAAUUAUCUUUGUAUCUCAAGACCAGUCUGGUUUGUCAGGUCUGACUUCAUGGAGCGAGCAAGCUAGCUAGCUGACGCAGGAGCCAAAGAAGAAUGAAACUUGGCAUAUCCCACAUUUUAAAAUAAGUUAUUGUUUUUUAAAAUAUUUUUUAUUUAAAAAUAUAUUAAAAUAAUUUAUCUAUUUUUAUUUUUUAAAAGUUAUGUUUAAUAUCAACAUAUUAAAAAAAUAUAUAAAACCAUAAAAAAUUAAUUUAAAAUAAAAAAUCCAAUAACAUUUUUUAAACACAAAACAAUCACUUUACAAUCUUGAAUUAUAAAGAAACCAUCAAAGCAAAUUGUACUCUGUCCCAACUUGUAUUUGUGUCGCUAAAUUUUAGUUAUUAAUAGGAAAAUGAAAAUAAAUAAAUAAACAAUAGUGUCAGAGGUUUUUACCACAAGUCUUGAUGUGCAUCAAUUACAAUAAAAUAAAUAAAUUGACAACUGAUUUGGCAACCAACCACAUGAUUUCUGACCAUAUGACAUCAUAAUUUUUUUAAAAAAAAAACAAUAAGGACUUUCUAAAAAAUACAUCUGAUUUUUAUUUGAUAGAAAAUUUAGAAUUGUUUCCGACUCAACCUAUAUACUGAAGGCACAAAGUAGAAGAAGCUCAGACCAAUGAGACAAGUGCUGAUGGCAAGUCCCAAGGAACAUUCUAAAACCGCGUACGUGCCCGUGAUGAAUGUGAUAAUCAUUGUACCCAUGGCAGUCAUGGUAAGCAACAUGGCACGCUGAAAUAAUAACCUAGGGGCUACCUUAAUUACCCUUUCAUGCUUCACCAAUUCCGAACCUUGAAUAUACGCAAUCCAAAAGUGGAUAAAGACAGCAGAAAUGGAGAGCACCAAUGAUAUUGUAUAUGAGAUGACAAAUACUAUAAAAGCAGUUUUUUUAGCUAGAAUUGCGGUGCCUUUAUUUGGACCUUGGUCGCUCUUGUAACCGCCAGGUAGGGUGAAUGCUGCUGCAAAUGUUACUGUUGCUAUCAGUGUCGCAACAACUAGAUGAGACUCUAUUGCUUUACUCAAAGCUUCCUCUUUGUUUUCCUUGUUUUCCUCAUCAUCUCCUUUCAAAAUAAAAGGACCGUGACCAAUCGGUCUAGUGCCAACAUCUUCAAGGUAUUCUAGGGUCUCUUUCUGCAAAGAAAUAAAUAUAUAUAUAUAUAUAUAUAUAUAUUGAGUAAAAUAUAUUAAGAUGUUAAAGUAUUUUUUAUUACUUUUUAAAAUAUUUUUCUAAGUUAAUUUUUUUAAAAUUUUAUUGAUAUUAUCUUGUAUUUAAAUUUUAUUAAUUAAAAUAAAAAUAGUGAGAUUUAAAUUUAUAAUUGGGUGAUCAAUAAGAUUGUAAUACUAUUUUUUUAAAACUAACUCACUCUAAAAAUUUAAACAAAUAAUCCAUCAUUUUUAGCUAUUUAACAUAUAUCAUAUAUCAACUUCCGAGCUUUUAUUUCCAAAACUAGUUUUUUUGCAAUCAAAUCCUUUUUGUUACUGUAUAUAUUAGCAGGUAACAAAAACUAAUUUGGUUGAAAUUAAACCGCAUGCUUUACAUUAGCCCAAUUAUCCCCAAAAAGAAAACUAAGAUGUGGACUUAAUUUUAUAUACCAUUAAUUCUACAUCAUUUCAUUCUAAAAUUAAUUUCCUAGGAGGAGUAAUCCAAUAUAUUAUUUUUUAUUGUUACUCUCCUUAAUUGCUUUUAAGAUUAUAUUAAGUUUCUAUUAAGUUUCUAUUAGAUUUUUCAACUUUAAUUCUCAGAUUUUUUAAAUUUUAAUUAAUUGUAUUUUUUUUCAUUCAUCUGUACUACUUUAUAAAACAGUUACAUGCGAUUUAUAUGCAUAAUCUGUUAUUGUAGAUGAAAAACUUAACAAAAUCAAUAAAAUGACUUCAUUUCAAAUAAAAAAAGAUUAUUAAGUUAUUCAGAUUACUUUAUUUUUAUAUUUAGUACUGCGAUAUAAUAGAGUGAAACUGAACAAAAGUUAUGUGGACCCGUUUGGUGGACAUGAUUAAGAUGCGGAGCUAAGAGAAUCUUAGAUGCAAAGUAAAACCAGUUUGCUGUGAUUUAAUUGAUUCAUUAAUGGAUAUAUAUUGUGAAUCACAACAGUUAAUUCUUAGAGGAUUGAUUACCUGUAUCUCUCCCAAAUUUCCUCUAUAAAUGUCGUCGACGCUUAGCUUACGCUUAUUAAGACCACAUAACUCCCCUGCUUUAUAUAAAACACUUAUCCAUUGCUUCUGCUCGCGCGCUAAAGCAGCAAUUAGAUGGAAGGGCGUGUUUCCUUUCUCAUCCUUCUUCGUUCCAAGUCUUGCAAGCUCUGGAAUCUCCAUACAUUUCUCGAAUACUCUGCUUCUUUUACUGGCCACAGCAUAGUGAAGGGCAUUCCAACCUCUGUUAUCAACUAGCUCACAACAAGCUGGGCAUCCAGAAACAAUCUCUUUCAUUGCGUUUACAUUUCCUUGAAUGGCAGCAAUGUGAAGAGCUGUUCUCUUCUUCUCUGUUUCAGCAAUGUAGGCCGCGGACGCAUCAUAUUCUAGUAGUACUUCCACUGUACGAGCAGACCAGUUAUAAAAGGCAGCGUAGUGAAGUGGUGACCAGCCGUUCUCAUCGGUUGUUUUCGUCAACGUUUUUUCUUUUUCUAACAAUUUUCUUGCUGUCCCUGAAACCAACAAAACAAGGAAUAAAAGUUAUCCUACAUGAACAACAGAGAUUUCACUUAUGCCCCGUUUAAUAAUUUCUUUUAGAAAACUGGUUUCUUGAAAAAUAAUUUUCUAAAAAAUAAAUUAUUUUUCAAUGUUCGGCAUCAGCAUGAAAAAUAAAUUGAAAAAUACUUUUUAAUAUUUGGCUAUGUCAUGGAAAAUAAAUUGAAAAAAAAAUUAUUAAUAUUUCUUUUCAAAUUUAUUAAAAUAAUGAGGACAAAAUCUUACAAAUUAAUUAAAAAGUUGAAUAAGAAUAAAAUUGAAAAAAAAAAUCUAAUUUCAUAAAUGAUCUCAAAUAAAAUAAAUAACAAUCAAGAUAAUGAAGAUCAAAUUUAAACUGAUAAAAAAGGUUCAAAAAUAAUCAAAUUUUAAAAAAUUAUAAUUUCAUAAAUUAUUUCAAAUAAAAUAAAUAGCUAUAAAAAAAAUAAGGACCAAAUUUGAUAGUUAAAAAAAUUCAAUUAAUGAUAAGAAAAAAACAAAUAAUAAUCAUAAAAAUAAGGACCAAAGUUGAUAUAAAAAUCAAAUUAAAUCAAAUUCUAAAAGAUGAAUUUUUUUUAAAAAUUGAAAACAAAAUAUAUAUUAAUCAAAAAUUUGAGGAUCAAAUUUGUUAUAAUCAGUAAAUAACAUGACAUUUCUAAAUUUUUUCACAACUUCUAGAAAGUGUUUUCCGCCAAAAAAAAAAGUUACUUUCAAACCAAGUCAAAAACAUUUUUAAUUGAAAAGUGUUUUUCUUUAAUCAAUUUUUUUAAUUAUAAACAAAUACAAAAAUUUUAAAAAUUAUUUUUAAAUAAUCACUUUUCACAAAACAAACGUAAUUAUUCCAUGUGAAUUACUAUAUAUGCAAUACUUAAACUCACAAAGUUUUUUUAUUUUAAAAAAACUAAUUAUGAAGCAAACUAGUACGGAUAUAUAAAAUCAAAUAUACGUGGCUUAUAAAUUAUAGUUUACACUAUUAUAUAUAAAAUAUUGAAUUCUCCAGACUUGAGCACAAAAUCCUACCAGCAUCUUCCACCCUGCUUGCCGCAUGUAGAGCAGUUCUACCAUUAGGGCCGCCAUAGUCCACUGAGAUGCUAUUUCCUAAGAUUUCAUCGACUACCUUUCCUCCUUCUUCGCUCCACAAGCCAAUGUAAGAACCCCUGGAAGCAGCUGCAAUAUAAAGUGGAGUUUCUCCAUGAACGUUGGCGGAAUAUGAAAACUCAGGGUCCUCUUUUGUCAAUAUUUUCACCACUUGGGCUUCGAUAUUUCGAGCUGCCACAUGCAACGCUGUAUCUUGCUCUUCAUUGGUCAUCCUCAACAUCUUUUUUGCUUCUGUUACUCCGCUCUCUGGAUCUGUAGGUAGAGCUUUGGCACGGUCAAUGAGGACUCUUACCACAUUGGAAUGGCCAUAUCUUGCUGCCAAAUGGAGUGGGAUUUCACCUUUCUUAUUGGCUUGGAAUAACAGUGGUGGACACAUUUCAAGAAUUAUAUCAACAAAAUCAGUGAAUUCCGGUUCACUGCUUUGGUUUCCUAAGUAGACAUGAAGAAUGGUGUUCUCGUCUGGAGUCAAUAAAUGAUCAAGGGAGGUUUGAUAUUUCUCAAAGGGAUCGAUAUUGCCUGCUUCUGCAGCUUUGAACAAGACAGUAUCCAUAUAGGGCGGCAUACUAUUUUGUAGCUUAGAGAAACUCACUAAAUGAAAAGUAAACAAA
RNAcentral lists this long non-coding RNA (29806 nucleotides) under Populus tremula. RNAcentral's name for it is "long non-coding RNA (PTRE_LNC003371)". The record is from RNAcentral. Lineage: Eukaryota; Viridiplantae; Streptophyta; Magnoliopsida; Malpighiales; Salicaceae.